RNAcentral lists this ribosomal RNA (468 nucleotides) under uncultured bacterium. Its description in RNAcentral is "partial 16S ribosomal RNA". It matches the Rfam family "Bacterial small subunit ribosomal RNA", at positions 28 to 507 of the family's 1533-position model. The record is from RNAcentral.
GACGAACGCUGGCGGCGUGCUUAACACAUGCAAGUCGAACGGAAAGGCCCUGCUUUUGUGGGGUGCUCGAGUGGCGAACGGGUGAGUAACACGUGAGUAACCUGCCCUUGACUUUGGGAUAACUUCAGGAAACUGGGGCUAAUACCGGAUAGGAGCUCCUGCUGCAUGGUGGGGGUUGGAAAGUUUCGGCGGUUGGGGAUGGACUCGCGGCUUAUCAGCUUGUUGGUGGGGUAGUGGCUUACCAAGGCUGUGACGGGUAGCCGGCCUGAGAGGGUGACCGGCGACCAUGGGACUGAGAGACGGCGCAGAGUCGUACGUGAGGCAGUAGUGGGGAAUAUUGCCCAGUGGGCGGAAGCCUGAUACAGCAACGCCCCGUGCGGGAUGACGGCCUUCGGGGUGUAAACCGCUUUCGCCUGUGACGCAGCGUGAGUGACGGUAAUGAGUAAAGAAGCACCGGCUAACUACGUG